This 22-nucleotide small RNA is filed under the name Arabidopsis thaliana (thale cress). Its description in RNAcentral is "ATSL145610". The record is from RNAcentral. Lineage: Eukaryota; Viridiplantae; Streptophyta; Magnoliopsida; Brassicales; Brassicaceae.
UCGAACCAUCGCCUCUCAAUUU